This 926-nucleotide ribosomal RNA is filed under the name Salmonella enterica subsp. enterica serovar Braenderup. RNAcentral describes it as "bacterial SSU rRNA". It matches the Rfam family "Bacterial small subunit ribosomal RNA", at positions 248 to 1167 of the family's 1533-position model. The record is from RNAcentral. Lineage: Bacteria; Pseudomonadati; Pseudomonadota; Gammaproteobacteria; Enterobacterales; Enterobacteriaceae.
GUUGGUGAGGUAACGGCUCACCAAGGCGACGAUCCCUAGCUGGUCUGAGAGGAUGACCAGCCACACUGGAACUGAGACACGGUCCAGACUCCUACGGGAGGCAGCAGUGGGGAAUAUUGCACAAUGGGCGCAAGCCUGAUGCAGCCAUGCCGCGUGUAUGAAGAAGGCCUUCGGGUUGUAAAGUACUUUCAGCGGGGAGGAAGGUGUUGUGGUUAAUAACCACAGCAAUUGACGUUACCCGCAGAAGAAGCACCGGCUAACUCCGUGCCAGCAGCCGCGGUAAUACGGAGGGUGCAAGCGUUAAUCGGAAUUACUGGGCGUAAAGCGCACGCAGGCGGUCUGUCAAGUCGGAUGUGAAAUCCCCGGGCUCAACCUGGGAACUGCAUUCGAAACUGGCAGGCUUGAGUCUUGUAGAGGGGGGUAGAAUUCCAGGUGUAGCGGUGAAAUGCGUAGAGAUCUGGAGGAAUACCGGUGGCGAAGGCGGCCCCCUGGACAAAGACUGACGCUCAGGUGCGAAAGCGUGGGGAGCAAACAGGAUUAGAUACCCUGGUAGUCCACGCCGUAAACGAUGUCUACUUGGAGGUUGUGCCCUUGAGGCGUGGCUUCCGGAGCUAACGCGUUAAGUAGACCGCCUGGGGAGUACGGCCGCAAGGUUAAAACUCAAAUGAAUUGACGGGGGCCCGCACAAGCGGUGGAGCAUGUGGUUUAAUUCGAUGCAACGCGAAGAACCUUACCUGGUCUUGACAUCCACAGAACUUUCCAGAGAUGGAUUGGUGCCUUCGGGAACUGUGAGACAGGUGCUGCAUGGCUGUCGUCAGCUCGUGUUGUGAAAUGUUGGGUUAAGUCCCGCAACGAGCGCAACCCUUAUCCUUUGUUGCCAGCGAUUAGGUCGGGAACUCAAAGGAGACUGCCAGUGAUAAACUGGA